This 634-nucleotide ribosomal RNA is filed under the name uncultured Sphingomonas sp. RNAcentral describes it as "bacterial SSU rRNA". It matches the Rfam family "Bacterial small subunit ribosomal RNA", at positions 870 to 1504 of the family's 1533-position model. The record is from RNAcentral. Lineage: Bacteria; Pseudomonadati; Pseudomonadota; Alphaproteobacteria; Sphingomonadales; Sphingomonadaceae.
CGCCUGGGGAGUGCGGCCGCAAGGUUAAAACUCAAAUGAAUUGACGGGGGCCUGCACAAGCGGUGGAGCAUGUGGUUUAAUUCGAAGCAACGCGCAGAACCUUACCAGCGUUUGACAUGGUAGGACGACUGGCAGAGAUGCCUUUCUUCCCUUCGGGGACCUACACACAGGUGCUGCAUGGCUGUCGUCAGCCCGUGCCGUGAGAUGUUGGGUUAAGUCCCGCAACGAGCGCAACCCUCGCCUUUAGUUACCAUCAUUUAGUUGGGUACUCUAAAGGAACCGCCGGUGAUAAGCCGGAGGAAGGUGGGGAUGACGUCAAGUCCUCAUGGCCCUUACGCGCUGGGCUACACACGUGCUACAAUGGCAACUACAGUGGGCAGCAAUCCCGCGAGGGUGAGCUAAUCUCCAAAAGUUGUCUCAGUUCGGAUUGUUCUCUGCAACUCGAGAGCAUGAAGGCGGAAUCGCUAGUAAUCGCGGAUCAGCAUGCCGCGGUGAAUACGUUCCCAGGCCUUGUACACACCGCCCGUCACACCAUGGGAGUUGGAUUCACCCGAAGGCGUCGCGCUAACCGCAAGGAGGCAGGCGACCACGGUGGGUUUAGCGACUGGGGUGAAGUCGUAACAAGGUAACCGUA